This 64-nucleotide transfer RNA is filed under the name Ischnomera caerulea. Its description in RNAcentral is "tRNA-Tyr". The record is from RNAcentral. Lineage: Eukaryota; Metazoa; Arthropoda; Insecta; Coleoptera; Oedemeridae.
GGUAGGAUGGCCGAGACUAGGUAAUAAAUUGUAAAUUUAUAGACGGAUUAAAUUUCUCCUACCA